GAAAUGCGAUAAGUAACGUGAAUUGCAGAAUUCAGUGAAUCAUCGAAUCUUUGAACGCACCUUGCGCUCCUUGGUAUUCCUUGGAGCAUGCCUGUUUGAGUAUCAUGAAAUCUUCAAAGUAAAUCUUUUGUUAACUCAAUUGGUUUCUACUUUGGUAUUGGAGGUCUUUGCAGCUUCACACCUGCUCCUCUUUGUUCAUUAGCUGGAUCUCAGUGUUAUGCUUGGUUCCACUCGGCGUGAUAAGUUAUCUAUCGCUGAGGACACUGUAAAAGGUGGCCAAGGUAAAUGCAGAUGAACCGCUUCUAAUAGUCCAUUGACUUGGACAAUACUUUUAUGAUCUGAUCUCAAAUCAGGUAGGACUACCCGCUGAACUUAAGC
This 378-nucleotide unclassified non-coding RNA is filed under the name plant metagenome. RNAcentral's name for it is "partial contains 5.8S ribosomal RNA, internal transcribed spacer 2, and large subunit ribosomal RNA". The stretch from base 1 to 105 matches the Rfam family "5.8S ribosomal RNA", at positions 50 to 154 of the family's 154-position model. The record is from RNAcentral.